UAGGGAAUCUUCGGCAAUGGACGAAAGUCUGACCGAGCAACGCCGCGUGAGUGAAGAAGGUUUUCGGAUCGUAAAACUCUGUUGUUAGAGAAGAACAAGGACGUUAGUAACUGAACGUCCCCUGACGGUAUCUAACCAGAAAGCCACGGCUAACUACGUGCCAGCAGCCGCGGUAAUACGUAGGUGGCAAGCGUUGUCCGGAUUUAUUGGGCGUAAAGCGAGCGCAGGCGGUUUCUUAAGUCUGAUGUAAAAGCCCCCGGCUCAACCGGGGAGGGUCAUUGGAAACUGGGAGACUUGAGUGCGGAAGAGGAGAGUGGAAUUCCAUGGGUAGCGGUGAAAUGCGUAGAUAUAUGAAGGAACACCAGUGGCGAAGGCGGCUCUCUGGUCUGUAACUGACGCUGAGGCUCGAAAGCGUGGGGAGCAAACAGG
RNAcentral lists this ribosomal RNA (429 nucleotides) under Gemmatimonadota bacterium. RNAcentral's name for it is "Gemmatimonadetes bacterium partial 16S ribosomal RNA". It matches the Rfam family "Bacterial small subunit ribosomal RNA", at positions 355 to 776 of the family's 1533-position model. The record is from RNAcentral. Lineage: Bacteria; Pseudomonadati; Gemmatimonadota.